GAUGAAGAACGCAGCGAAAUGCGAUAAGUAAUGUGAAUUGCAGAAUUCAGUGAAUCAUCGAAUCUUUGAACGCACAUUGCGCCCGCCAGCAUUCUGGCGGGCAUGCCUGUUCGAGCGUCAUUUCAACCCUCGAGCCCCCCCGGGGGCCUCGGUGUUGGGGGACGGCACAUCAGCCGCCCCCGAAAUGCAGUGGCGACCCCGCCGCAGCCUCCCCUGCGUAGUAGCACACACCUCGCACCGGAGCGCGGAGGCGGUCACGCCGUAAAACGCCCAACUUUCUUAGAGUUGACCUCGGAUCAGGUAGGAAUACCCGCUGAACUUAAGCAUAUCAAUAAGCGGAGGA
This 343-nucleotide unclassified non-coding RNA is filed under the name soil metagenome. RNAcentral describes it as "partial contains 5.8S ribosomal RNA, internal transcribed spacer 2, and large subunit ribosomal RNA". The stretch from base 1 to 120 matches the Rfam family "5.8S ribosomal RNA", at positions 35 to 154 of the family's 154-position model. The record is from RNAcentral.